UACGGAGGGUGCAAGCGUUAUCCGGAUUCACUGGGUUUAAAGGGUGCGUAGGCGGACAGGUAAGUCAGUGGUGAAAUCUCUGGGCUUAACCCAGAAACUGCCGUUGAUACUAUUUGUCUUGAAUAUCCUGGAGGUAGGCGGAAUAUGUCAUGUAGCGGUGAAAUGCUUAGAUAUGACAUAGAACACCGAUAGCGAAGGCAGCUUACUACAGGAUGAUUGAUGCUGAGGCACGAAAGCGUGGGGAGCAAACAGG
RNAcentral lists this ribosomal RNA (253 nucleotides) under uncultured bacterium. RNAcentral describes it as "partial 16S ribosomal RNA". It matches the Rfam family "Bacterial small subunit ribosomal RNA", at positions 524 to 776 of the family's 1533-position model. The record is from RNAcentral.